This 325-nucleotide ribosomal RNA is filed under the name uncultured eukaryote. Its description in RNAcentral is "partial 18S ribosomal RNA". It matches the Rfam family "Eukaryotic small subunit ribosomal RNA", at positions 1470 to 1796 of the family's 1831-position model. The record is from RNAcentral.
CCCUUAGAUGUUCUGGGCUGCACACGCGCUACACUGAAGGGAUCAGCGUGUUCUUUUCCUGGUCCGAAAGGAUCGGGUAACCCGCUGAACCCCCUUCGUGGUAGGGAUCGGAGCUUGCAAUUAUUCUCCGUGAACCAGGAAUUCCCAGUAAGCGCAAGUCAUAAGCUUGUGUUGAUUACGUCCCUGCCCUUUGUACACACCGCCCGUCGCACCUACCGAUUGAAUGGUCCGGUGAAAUCUCCGGACUGGCGUGAGUCGGAGCAAUCUGACAAACACCGGAAAGUUGAUUAAACCUUACCAUUUAGAGGAAGGUGAAGUCGUAACA